This 385-nucleotide ribosomal RNA is filed under the name Argas sp. RNAcentral describes it as "partial small subunit ribosomal RNA". The record is from RNAcentral. Lineage: Eukaryota; Metazoa; Arthropoda; Arachnida; Ixodida; Argasidae.
UUAAACUAGGAUUAGAUACCCUAUUAUUAAUAAUAAAUAUAUUGGUAGUAUGUAGAAUAUGUGAAAUCAAAAGAUUUUGGCGGUAUUUUAAGCUUCUUAGAGGAAUUUGCUCUGUAAUUGAUAUGACACCUAUAUCUUACUUAGAUUGGUUAAGGCAGUUUGUAUAUCGCUAUUUUUAUAACUAUAUUAAAUGAUGAUAGUUGAGAUGAAUUUUUUUCUGGAUUUUAGGUCAAGAUGCAAUAUAAAUUUAAGGUUGAAGUGAAUUAUGAUAAUUUUUAUUAGAUGAAAAAUGAAAAGAAAUUAAGAUUUAAAAGUAAAAUGGUAUUAUAAUGACUAUUUGAAUAGAGCUCUAAAAUAUGUACAUAUCGCCCGUCACUCUUUAAUG